CCUCAUGCGGCAUGCCAGACCACAUACUGGAGGGCUGUGGAUACAAAGACGGAUGAAAGAAGCAUUGUCAAGGAGGCACUAACGGUGCAAAGCACCGAUGCUGUGAGGUAGCAUGCAUGGACAGCACUCUCUGUGGGACUGAUUACUGUUACCAGGAAGGACAGAGGACGCAGGAGAGGCCUCAUGGAAGAGGUUAUAUCAGUCAGGGCCUUCCUGGCAGAACACAGAACACACUGGAAAGGAAUGAUGAGCAGAGCCUAAAGAAGGGACCAGGUACAGACGUGUGGGCAGUGCCAUGAGAGCCAACAGGUCCCCGGGAGCAGCAGAAAGCUGCAAUACCUCUAGGCCUGAGGAGCCAAGUGGACGCAGGUGUGAUUGGAUCUUUACCUUGAGCAUGUAACUGACUCCACCAUGGAAGGGAAUGAAAGGGGAAGAAACUGGAGAUCAGGAACCCAAUGGCAACAUCACUGCAGUAAGUGCAGUAGAGAUGGGAGGACUUGAACCACGAGGGAAGUGAUGUUGGAGGAAAAGGGCGUGAGGGAAGAAGCCAUUGCAGCCUGAAAAUAACAAAACCAGGACCGCAGAAGGGAAGGCGUCUGCACUGUCGUCCCAGCAGCAGCAUCGCAGCAAUCUGGCGUUGGAGCAGACAUUUAAGUUCCUCUACUAAACAGUGAGACGGUAAUCUUGGCAUUGCCACCUUACGGGGUUUUACGGUCAGGUUCAAAUAACACAAGUACUUUGUAAAAGUGAAGAGUAAGACAAAGGAAACGUCGAAUUGGAGUCAUUGUCAUGGCUAGUGAGGCCUUGCUGAUGAGAAUGGUUUUGUGACACCAUGAAGUUGUAAUAAAAAGAUGAAUCAACUCA
Callithrix jacchus (white-tufted-ear marmoset) is the source of this 864-nucleotide long non-coding RNA. RefSeq lists it as uncharacterized. The record is from RefSeq and is a predicted model, not a curated record. NCBI's taxonomy places the organism in Eukaryota, Metazoa, Chordata, Mammalia, Primates, Cebidae.